Molecule: ribosomal RNA, 240 nt
Filed under: uncultured Staphylococcus sp.
Lineage: Bacteria; Bacillati; Bacillota; Bacilli; Caryophanales; Staphylococcaceae
Description: partial 16S ribosomal RNA
Rfam family: Bacterial small subunit ribosomal RNA
Source: RNAcentral
GGACGGGUGAGUAACACGUGGAUAACCUACCUAUAAGACUGGGAUAACUACGGGAAACCGGAGCUAAUACCGGAUAAUAUAUUGAACCGCAUGGUUCAAUAGUGAAAGACGGUUUUGCUGUCACUUAUAGAUGGAUCCGCGCCGCAUUAGCUAGUUGGUAAGGUAACGGCUUACCAAGGCAACGAUGCGUAGCCGACCUGAGAGGGUGAUCGGCCACACUGGAACUGAGACACGGUCCAG